RNAcentral lists this small RNA (806 nucleotides) under Pongo abelii (Sumatran orangutan). RNAcentral's name for it is "processed transcript". Lineage: Eukaryota; Metazoa; Chordata; Mammalia; Primates; Hominidae. The record is from RNAcentral.
CCUCCACUCACUCCUUCAGAGCCGGCCAGCCGUGCGUGUGCUCCCAGCAGCCGUGGCUGUUGCUCAGGAGCCCGUCCUCCCCGUUGUCCUCAUGCAGAAGCCUCCCCUCAUCCGCCGUGGAGAGCGAGGCCACGUACCAGCGGAAGCUCCGGCAGAAGCAGCUGCAGCAGCAGUUCCGGGAGCGGAUGGAGAAGCAGCACGUUCACGUGUCCGCGCCGUCAGCUGAGAAGAGUGAGGCAGCGCCUCCAGCCCCUCCUCUGACGCAUAGCACACCUGUAACUGUCUCAGAACCACUCCCGGAGAAAGACUUCCUUGCAGGAAUGACUCAAGAACUAAUCAGUAAAUACCUUGAAAUGCUUAGACUCUUGAAGACAACUCUGAAAAGUGGGCUGUGACUCCAGAUGCAGGGGAUGGUGUGGUCAAGCCCUCGUCUAGAGCAGACCCAGCCCAGACCUCUGACACGCUAGCCUCGAACAACCAGAUGGUGACCCAGAACAGGACUCCACACAGCCUCUGCCACCAGAAACCACAAGCAAAAUCUGGAUCUUGGGACCUCCAAACUUAUAGCACUGACGAGCGCAUAACAGGAAACUGGGAAUCUCAUAGGAAGAGCCAGGACAUGAAGAAAAGGAAAUAUGAUCCAUCUUAACUGAGGCUGAGGCCACAUGAUAGGACUCUGUCACAAAGGGACUUUGGAAAACUACUUUUUGGUCAUGAAAUUGUUCAUCACUCCUGGAGAAUGAACUUCAUUGCAAUUUAUCUUGCUUCAUUCUGAACCUUAUCAAGAGGAUCUGACUGAGAGCCCA